Molecule: RNase P RNA, 346 nt
Filed under: Gammaproteobacteria bacterium
Lineage: Bacteria; Pseudomonadati; Pseudomonadota; Gammaproteobacteria
Description: RNase P RNA component class A
Rfam family: Bacterial RNase P class A
About the family: Ribonuclease P (RNase P) is a ubiquitous endoribonuclease, found in archaea, bacteria and eukarya as well as chloroplasts and mitochondria.
Source: RNAcentral
AGAGUUGGCUAGGCAAUCGCUGUUAAUCAUUGAAUUAGCAGAGGAAAGUCCGGGCUCCAAAGGGCUAGGUGCCAGAUAACAUCUGGGCGGCGCAAGUCGAUGGAAAGUGCCACAGAAAUUAUACCGCCCAACUUAGUUUGGGUAAGGGUGAAAUGGUGUGGUAAGAGCACACCGCACUGUUAGUAAUAGCAGUGGCAGGGUAAACCCCGCCGGGAGCAAGACCAAAUAGAGAAACGAUGGUGCGGCCCGCACUGUUUCUGGGUAGGUUGCUAGAAGUGUGUGGCGACACACACUCAAGAUGAAUGGUUGCCCAUGACAGAACCCGGCUUAUCGGCCGACUCUUUAA